RNAcentral lists this ribosomal RNA (494 nucleotides) under uncultured bacterium. RNAcentral describes it as "partial 16S ribosomal RNA". It matches the Rfam family "Bacterial small subunit ribosomal RNA", at positions 28 to 507 of the family's 1533-position model. The record is from RNAcentral.
GACGAACGCUGGCGGCGUGCUUAACACAUGCAAGUCGAACGGAAAGGCCUGUCCUUCCUUGUGUUGGACGGGUACUCGAGUGGCGAACGGGUGAGUAACACGUGAGUGAUCUGCCCCCAACUUGGGUAUAAGCCUGGGAAACUGGGUCUAAUUCCCGAUAGGACUGCAGGGUGGCGCCUGUGGUGGAAAACGAUUUUCUAGUGGUUGGGGAUGAGCUCGCGGCCUAUCAGCUUGUUGGUGGGGUAAUGGCCUACCAAGGCGGCGACGGGUAGCCGGCCUGAGAGGGUGGACGGCCACAUUGGGACUGAGAUACGGCCCAGACUCCUACGGGAGGCAGCAGUGGGGAAUAUUGCACAAUGGGCGGAAGCCUGAUGCAGCGACGCCGCGUGGGGGAUGACGGCCUUCGGGUUGUAAACUCCUUUCGACCGCGAGGAAGCCGCCUGGUUGGAAGGGUGGUGACGGUAGUGGUAGAAGAAGCACCGGCUAACUACGUG